Molecule: ribosomal RNA, 281 nt
Filed under: uncultured Alphaproteobacteria bacterium
Lineage: Bacteria; Pseudomonadati; Pseudomonadota; Alphaproteobacteria
Description: partial 16S ribosomal RNA
Rfam family: Bacterial small subunit ribosomal RNA
Source: RNAcentral
UGGGUCUGCGUUUCAUUAGCUAGUUGGUGAGGUAAUGGCUCACCAAGGCGACGAUCAGUAGCUGGUCUGAGAGGAUGAUCAGCCACAUUGGGACUGAGACACGGCCCAAACUCCUACGGGAGGCAGCAGUGGGGAAUCUUGCGCAAUGGGCGAAAGCCUGACGCAGCCAUGCCGCGUGAAUGAUGAAGGUCUUAGGAUUGUAAAAUUCUUUCACCGGGGACGAUAAUGACGGUACCCGGAGAAGAAGCCCCGGCUAACUUCGUGCCAGCAGCCGCGGUAAU